Oncorhynchus nerka (sockeye salmon) is the source of this 107-nucleotide small nucleolar RNA. RefSeq annotates it as small nucleolar RNA SNORA47. NCBI's taxonomy places the organism in Eukaryota, Metazoa, Chordata, Actinopteri, Salmoniformes, Salmonidae. The record is from RefSeq and is a predicted model, not a curated record. The transcript has a single exon.
GGGAGGAUUGAGAAGGUGUAGCAGCUUCACAAUGUGCUGUUAUUACUGGUUAAUAACCUCCUAAAUGAAAAUCAGGUCGACGUAGCAAACUGGCUUCAUGACACCUU